GAGGUUUCUGUGUGAGACCCGAGGCGGGCGGGGAGAGGCGUGACCCACCGAGAUGAGGGAGGUGGUGUAGUGCCUUGCAGUACCUCUGUGUGGCCCUACAGCUGCUACUGGAGUGAGGAGACCUGCGUCCAAGCUAACAGCUGGAGUCUUUCGCGGACCACUUGCCUUCUGUCUCUGGGAUUAAAGGGGAAGCCGAAAGCUGGGAAGGGCGCAGCUCUCUUCUGCAGCUUGCGUGGCUGCUGCAGCGGUAGCAGGUGAGGACUCAGCCCUGAGGAGAACCGAGGUGCCGAGCUCGGUCACCCGAGGCCGCUGCUGGGCAGUUAGUUGCUUUGUCUUCUGCGCUUUGAGGAGCUCAAGACACGCGCUCUUCCCAGGGGCGUGUGCCAGAGCGAAAGGCGGCGUGGGCGCGGAGGCGUGACACUCCAGCCCCGAGGGUCUUUUCGCGUCUCAUUUUCUUCUCCUCCGCCGUUGCCUCCCUUCUGUAUUCCUUGGGCUGGAGAGACCCGACAUUUCGGAAGAAACCGAAGGAAACUGCCGAGCGUCCGUGGCUGGUACUCCAGGCUGCGGGCUCGCUCCUCCAGAGUAGGCAGCCUCGAGUCUGGGGACUGAGCUUUUCCAGAGUAAAAACGGAGACGGCAGGUCACCGCCUCACCGGAUCAGUUCGAGUGGGCUGCACCUCGCGCGCUUCGAGGGAGAAGGACCGAGGGUGGGGACUUCAGGAUCGCAUGGACUAGGUUCUGGACGACUUCUGGGAGUUGGCGACCUUUGCAUUCCUGUGGGUGAUACUUGUUUGCUUCAGUGUGCUGGAAGCCUUAGAUGGGGGAAGUAGGAGGAAGCGUGGCUGGCUUUAGUACCCAGCAUCUUUUUGCCCUAGCCUGGCAUAGGGUAUUGUUUUGCUAUUGAAAAGACUUCAGUGAAAAAUACAGUUUUUGUUUCAGGCGGUUUCCAGUAACUGAAUUUUUUUUUUUUUUUUUUUUUUUAGAUUUUAUUUAUUUAUUUGACAGAGAUC
RNAcentral lists this long non-coding RNA (1009 nucleotides) under Neogale vison (American mink). RNAcentral's name for it is "Neovison vison (American mink) lncRNA (ENSNVIG00000020445.1)". Lineage: Eukaryota; Metazoa; Chordata; Mammalia; Carnivora; Mustelidae. The record is from RNAcentral.